AAUUUUCUAAUUUGUUUCCUCGAAAGUGAAGCCCUCCCACUUGGUUUAUUGGGUUAAUUAAAUUAGUUAAUAAAUACUCACAAUCACCAAACUUCCUCUAAUUCUACCCUAACUCAUCCUCCUUUGUAAGCUUUUUACAAUCACAAACUAAUGGCUACAGCAACAAUAGCUUCGGUUGCUUGGAAGAAAGUUAUUAUCUUCUUUACUUUGCUUCUUCUUGCUUACAACAUUUCGGCGAGAGAACUUGUUGCUCGCACCACCUGUGAGCCAUCGUUGACGACAGAGAUGAAUGAUGUAAUAGACCGGAGAUUAUUUGUUCGGCAAUUGGAUACCUCUUGGAGAGGAAAUUAUUUUCCUCCUCCUAAACCGCCAAGGUCUUGAUUUGAACAUGAGAUGUUAAUUUUAUUUUUAAUUACCCUUCCUUGAUCUCUGUUUUGGGGACGAGGAUCUACCACAAGUUGUAUGAAUAGUUAUUUUCCCUUGUAAGGAUGUGGCCAUUUAAUGGCGUUGUGUGUGAUUGUGGUGGAGUUUAACUACAGCCACAAAUACUUUUUAAUGUUAAAUUCAGUAGUCGUAAUGUAAUAAACAGUUAACCCAAAGUUUAAUAACAUACUUUUGAUUUAUUGAUCCUUUA
Long non-coding RNA from Cucumis sativus (cucumber), 634 nucleotides. RefSeq lists it as uncharacterized. The transcript is spliced from 2 exons. The record is from RefSeq and is a predicted model, not a curated record. Lineage: Eukaryota; Viridiplantae; Streptophyta; Magnoliopsida; Cucurbitales; Cucurbitaceae.